GGGUUGUGAGGUUAAGCGACUAAGCGUACACGGUGGAUGCCCUGGCAGUCAGAGGCGAUGAAGGACGUGCUAAUCUGCGAUAAGCGCCGGUAAGGUGAUAUGAACCGUUAUAACCGGCGAUACCCGAAUGGGGAAACCCAGUGUGACUCGUCACACUAUCAUUAACUGAAUCCAUAGGUUAAUGAGGCGAACCGGGGGAACUGAAACAUCUAAGUACCCCGAGGAAAAGAAAUCAACCGAGAUUCCCCCAGUAGCGGCGAGCGAACGGGGAGGAGCCCAGAGCCUGAAUCAGCAUAUGUGUUAGUGGAAGCGUCUGGAAAGGCGCGCGAUACAGGGUGACAGCCCCGUACACAAAAGCGCAUGUGCUGUGAGCUCGAUGAGUAGGGCGGGACACGUGGUAUCCUGUCUGAAUAUGGGGGGACCAUCCUCCAAGGCUAAAUACUCCUGACUGACCGAUAGUGAACCAGUACCGUGAGGGAAAGGCGAAAAGAACCCCGGCGAGGGGAGUGAAAAAGAACCUGAAACCGUGUACGUACAAGCAGUGGGAGCACAGGUUUACCUGUGUGACUGCGUACCUUUUGUAUAAUGGGUCAGCGACUUAUAUUCUGUAGCAAGGUUAACCGAAUAGGGGAGCCGGAGGGAAACCGAGUCUUAACCGGGCGUUAAGUUGCAGGGUAUAGACCCGAAACCCGGUGAUCUAGCCAUGGGCAGGUUGAAGGUUGGGUAACACUAACUGGAGGACCGAACCGACUAAUGUUGAAAAAUUAGCGGAUGACCUGUGGCUGGGGGUGAAAGGCCAAUCAAACCGGGAGAUAGCUGGUUCUCCCCGAAAGCUAUUUAGGUAGCGCCUCGUGAAUUCAUCUCCGGGGGUAGAGCACUGUUUCGGCUAGGGGGCCAUCCCGGCUUACCAACCCGAUGCAAACUGCGAAUACCGGAGAAUGUUAUCACGGGAGACACACGGCGGGUGCUAACGUCCGUCGUGAAGAGGGAAACAACCCAGACCGCCAGCUAAGGUCCCAAAGUCAUGGUUAAGUGGGAAACGAUGUGGGAAGGCCCAGACAGCCAGGAUGUUGGCUUAGAAGCAGCCAUCAUUUAAAGAAAGCGUAAUAGCUCACUGGUCGAGUCGGCCUGCGCGGAAGAUGUAACGGGGCUAAACCAUGCACCGAAGCUGCGGCAGCGACGCUGAUGCGUUGUUGGGUAGGGGAGCGUUCUGUAAGCCUGCGAAGGUGGCCUGUGAGGGUUGCUGGAGGUAUCAGAAGUGCGAAUGCUGACAUAAGUAACGAUAAAGCGGGUGAAAAGCCCGCUCGCCGGAAGACCAAGGGUUCCUGUCCAACGUUAAUCGGGGCAGGGUGAGUCGACCCCUAAGGCGAGGCCGAAAGGCGUAGUCGAUGGGAAACGGGUUAAUAUUCCCGUACUUGGUGUUACUGCGAAGGGGGGACGGAGAAGGCUAUGUUGGCCGGGCGACGGUUGUCCCGGUUUAAGCGUGUAGGUGUGUGUUCCAGGUAAAUCCGGUUCACUUUAACACUGAGGCGUGAUGACGAGGCACUACGGUGCUGAAGCAACAAAUGCCCUGCUUCCAGGAAAAGCCUCUAAGCAUCAGGUAACAUCAAAUCGUACCCCAAACCGACACAGGUGGUCAGGUAGAGAAUACCAAGGCGCUUGAGAGAACUCGGGUGAAGGAACUAGGCAAAAUGGUGCCGUAACUUCGGGAGAAGGCACGCUGACACGUAGGUGAAGUGAUUUACUCAUGGAGCUGAAGUCAGUCGAAGAUACCAGCUGGCUGCAACUGUUUAUUAAAAACACAGCACUGUGCAAACACGAAAGUGGACGUAUACGGUGUGACGCCUGCCCGGUGCCGGAAGGUUAAUUGAUGGGGUCAGCGCAAGCGAAGCUCCUGAUCGAAGCCCCGGUAAACGGCGGCCGUAACUAUAACGGUCCUAAGGUAGCGAAAUUCCUUGUCGGGUAAGUUCCGACCUGCACGAAUGGCGUAAUGAUGGCCAGGCUGUCUCCACCCGAGACUCAGUGAAAUUGAACUCGCUGUGAAGAUGCAGUGUACCCGCGGCAAGACGGAAAGACCCCGUGAACCUUUACUAUAGCUUGACACUGAACAUUGAGCCUUGAUGUGUAGGAUAGGUGGGAGGCUUUGAAGUGUGGACGCCAGUCUGCAUGGAGCCGGCCUUGAAAUACCACCCUUUAAUGUUUGAUGUUCUAACGUGGACCCGUGAUCCGGGUUGCGGACAGUGUCUGGUGGGUAGUUUGACUGGGGCGGUCUCCUCCUAAAGAGUAACGGAGGAGCACGAAGGUUGGCUAAUCCUGGUCGGACAUCAGGAGGUUAGUGCAAUGGCAUAAGCCAGCUUGACUGCGAGCGUGACGGCGCGAGCAGGUGCGAAAGCAGGUCAUAGUGAUCCGGUGGUUCUGAAUGGAAGGGCCAUCGCUCAACGGAUAAAAGGUACUCCGGGGAUAACAGGCUGAUACCGCCCAAGAGUUCAUAUCGACGGCGGUGUUUGGCACCUCGAUGUCGGCUCAUCACAUCCUGGGGCUGAAGUAGGUCCCAAGGGUAUGGCUGUUCGCCAUUUAAAGUGGUACGCGAGCUGGGUUUAGAACGUCGUGAGACAGUUCGGUCCCUAUCUGCCGUGGGCGCUGGAGAACUGAGGGGGGCUGCUCCUAGUACGAGAGGACCGGAGUGGACGCAUCACUGGUGUUCGGGUUGUCAUGCCAAUGGCACUGCCCGGUAGCUAAAUGCGGAAGAGAUAAGUGCUGAAAGCAUCUAAGCACGAAACUUGCCCCGAGAUGAGUUCUCCCUGAGACUUAGAGUCUCCUGAAGGAACGUUGAAGACGACGACGUUGAUAGGCCGGGUGUGUAAGCGCAGCGAUGCGUUGAGCUAACCGGUACUAAUGAACCGUGAGGCUUAACCUUACAACGCCGAAG
RNAcentral lists this ribosomal RNA (2929 nucleotides) under Salmonella enterica subsp. enterica serovar Bredeney str. CFSAN001080. RNAcentral's name for it is "bacterial LSU rRNA". It matches the Rfam family "Bacterial large subunit ribosomal RNA". The record is from RNAcentral. Lineage: Bacteria; Pseudomonadati; Pseudomonadota; Gammaproteobacteria; Enterobacterales; Enterobacteriaceae.